RNAcentral lists this ribosomal RNA (459 nucleotides) under uncultured bacterium. RNAcentral's name for it is "partial 16S ribosomal RNA". It matches the Rfam family "Bacterial small subunit ribosomal RNA", at positions 338 to 795 of the family's 1533-position model. The record is from RNAcentral.
CCUACGGAAGGCAGCAGUGAGGAAUAUUGGUCAAUGGUCGGGAGACUGAACCAGCCAAGCCGCGUGAGGGAGGAAGGUACAGAGUAUCGUAAACCUCUUUUGUCAGGGAACAAAGACUGGGACGCGUCCCCGGAUGAGUGUACCUGAAGAAAAAGCAUCGGCUAACUCCGUGCCAGCAGCCGCGGUAAUACGGGGGCUGAGAGCUUUAUCCGGAUUUAUGGGGUUUAAAGGGUGCGCAGGCGGUCUGUUAAGUCAGCGGUCAAAGCGCGGGGCUCAACCCCGGCCCGCCGUUGAUACUGGCAGUAUCGAGUUGGAGAGAAGUAUGCGGAAUGCGCGGUGUAGCGGUGAAAUGCAUAGAUAUCGCGCAGAACUCCGAUUGCGAAGGCAGCAUGCCGGCUCCACACUGACGCUGAGGCACGAAAGCGUGGGUAUCGAACAGGAUUAGAUACCCUAGUAGUC